GAUGGGUCUGCGGUCUAUCAGGUUGUAGUGGGUGUAAUGUACCUACUAGCCUACGACGGAUACGGGUUGUGGGAGCAAGAGCCCGGAGAUGGAUUCUGAGACAUGAAUCCAGGCCCUACGGGGCGCAGCAGGCGCGAAAACUUUACAAUGCGGGAAACCGCGAUAAGGGGACACCGAGUGCCAGCAUCCUAUGUUGGCUGUCCAUAUGUCUAAAUCACAUGUGUUAGCAAGGGCCGGGCAAGACCGGUGCCAGCCGCCGCGGUAACACCGGCGGCCCGAGUGGUGGCCACUAUUAUUGGGUCUAAAGGGUCCGUAGCCGGUUUGGUCAGUCUUCCGGGAAAUCUGACGGCUCAACCGUUAGGCUUUCGGGGGAUACUACCAGGCUUGGGACCGGGAGAGGUAAGAGGUACUACGGGGGUAGGAGUGAAAUCUUGUAAUCCCUGUGGGACCACCAUUGGCGAAGGCGUCUUACCAGAACGGGUCCGACGGUGAGGGACGAAAGCUGGGGGCACGAACCGGAUUAGAUACCCGGGUAGUCCCAGCUGUAAACUAUGCUCGCUAGGUGUCAGGGACGGUGCGACCGUUUCUGGUGCCGCAGGGAAGCCGUGAAGCGAGCCACCUGGGAAGUACGGCCGCAAGGCUGAAACUUAAAGGAAUUGGCGGGGGAGCAC
Molecule: ribosomal RNA, 671 nt
Filed under: uncultured archaeon
Lineage: Archaea
Description: bacterial SSU rRNA
Rfam family: Archaeal small subunit ribosomal RNA
Source: RNAcentral